Molecule: ribosomal RNA, 450 nt
Filed under: uncultured bacterium
Lineage: Bacteria
Description: partial 16S ribosomal RNA
Rfam family: Bacterial small subunit ribosomal RNA
Source: RNAcentral
GUGGGGAAUUUUGGACAAUGGGCGCAAGCCUGAUCCAGCAAUGCCGCGUGUGUGAAGAAGGCCUUCGGGUUGUAAAGCACUUUUGGCAGGAAAGAAAUAGCGCGUGCUAAUACCAUGCGCGAAUGACGGUACCUGCAGAAUAAGCACCGACUAACUACGUGCCAGCAGCCGCGGUAAGACGUAGGGUGCAAGCGUUAAUCGGAAUUACUGGGCGUAAAGCGUGCGCAGGCGGUUUUGUAAGACAGGUGUGAAAUCCCCGGGCUCAACCUGGGAACUGCACUUGUGACUGCAAGGCUAGAGUGUGUCAGAGGGAGGUGGAAUUCCGCGUGUAGCAGUGAAAUGCGUAGAGAUGCGGAGGAACACCGAUGGCGAAGGCAGCCUCCUGGGAUAACACUGACGCUCAGGCACGAAAGCGUGGGGAGCAAACAGGAUUAGAUACCCGAGUAGUCC